This 473-nucleotide ribosomal RNA is filed under the name uncultured bacterium. RNAcentral describes it as "bacterial SSU rRNA". It matches the Rfam family "Bacterial small subunit ribosomal RNA", at positions 355 to 825 of the family's 1533-position model. The record is from RNAcentral.
UGGGGAAUAUUGCGCAAUGGGCGAAAGCCUGACGCAGCAACGCCGCGUGAGUGAUGAAGGCCUUCGGGUCGUAAAGCUCUGUCGGAGGGAACGAAUGCUCUUGAGGUUAACAGCCUCGGGAGGUGACGGUACCCUCAAAGGAAGCACCGGCUAACUCUGUGCCAGCAGCCGCGGUAAUACAGAGGGUGCAAGCGUUGUUCGGAAUCAUUGGGCGUAAAGCGCGUGUAGGUGGUCGAGUAAGUCGAAUGUGAAAGCCCCGGGCUCAACCCGGGAAGUGCAUCCGAAACUGCUCGACUAGAGUCCCGGAGAGGAAGGCAGAAUUCCCAAUGUAGGGGUGAAAUCCGUAGAUAUCAUGGGGAACACCGAAAGCGAAGGCAGUACAUUGGGCCACUCCUGACACUGAAACACGAAAGCGUGGGUAGCGAAUGGGAUUAGAUACCCCAGUAGUCCCUGAGCGGGCUGGCAAGGCGCAU